ACCUGGGGUCCGAACCGACGAACCCGGGGCCACCAAAGCGGAACGUGCGCACUUAACCACUAUGCCACCAGGCCGGCCCUCAAUUUUCUGAUAAUAUAAACUAUCGUAGCUGUUAUAGUAGGAUUAUUUUUGGAAGAUACCAGUGACCACUUUUUUAACAAUAAAUAAUCAACUAAGAGAAUAGUAGCCAAAGUAAGCAAGUAAUAAAAUGUAUUAAAACAGCGAUCAGUUUUGACAUUUAAAUUCCCUGCUGAAGUGUUCAGCCAGCUGCAGGGAGAGACAGCCAGUUCCUACAUAUAAAACAGCAACUGUGGAAAGGCUACUUGUCAACAGGCUAACCUGUUCUUCUCAAGAGCACAUUGUCACCUGACACCAGAAUUCAGAAGUGAAGAAAAAAAGAGGACGAAACAGAUUUGAAAGAUCGCUAUGCACACAGAAAAAAAGAAGCACAGCAGUUGUCCUCUGCUUGAUGGUCAAAAUCUACUGGCUGCGAUGACUAAGGCGCAUCACUUUCCUUGGACUUUGGGAAAAUCUAGUUUCUAGU
This is a non-coding RNA of Equus caballus (horse), 544 nucleotides long. NCBI's taxonomy places the organism in Eukaryota, Metazoa, Chordata, Mammalia, Perissodactyla, Equidae. The record is from RefSeq and is a predicted model, not a curated record.